This 497-nucleotide ribosomal RNA is filed under the name uncultured bacterium. Its description in RNAcentral is "partial 16S ribosomal RNA". It matches the Rfam family "Bacterial small subunit ribosomal RNA", at positions 28 to 507 of the family's 1533-position model. The record is from RNAcentral.
GAUGAACGCUGGCGGCGUGCCUAAUACAUGCAAGUCGAGCGAACAGACGAGGAGCUUGCUCCUUCGACGUUAGCGGCGGACGGGUGAGUAACACGUAGGUAACCUACCUAUAAGACUGGGAUAACUUCGGGAAACCGGAGCUAAUACCGGAUAAUAUUUCGAACCGUAUGGUUCGAUAGUGAAAGAUGGCUUUGCUAUCACUUAUAGAUGGACCUGCGCCGUAUUAGCUAGUUGGUAAGGUAACGGCUUACCAAGGCAACGAUACGUAGCCGACCUGAGAGGGUGAUCGGCCACACUGGAACUGAGACACGGUCCAGACUCCUACGGGAGGCAGCAGUAGGGAAUCUUCCGCAAUGGGCGAAAGCCUGACGGAGCAACGCCGCGUGAGUGAUGAAGGUCUUCGGAUCGUAAAACUCUGUUAUUAGGGAAGAACAAACGUGUAAGUAACUGUGCACGUCUUGACGGUACCUAAUCAGAAAGCCACGGCUAACUACGUG